UGGGGAAUAUUGCACAAUGGGCGCAAGCCUGAUGCAGCGACGCCGCGUGCGGGAUGACGGCCUUCGGGUUGUAAACCGCUUUCAGCAGGGAAGAAGCGCAAGUGACGGUACCUGCAGAAGAAGCGCCGGCUAACUACGUG
RNAcentral lists this ribosomal RNA (140 nucleotides) under uncultured bacterium. RNAcentral's name for it is "partial 16S rRNA". It matches the Rfam family "Bacterial small subunit ribosomal RNA", at positions 355 to 507 of the family's 1533-position model. The record is from RNAcentral.